AGGGAAUCUGGAAAUUCUAGAAAUUAAAGAGAAUAAGAAAUUUAAUCCCGAGAUAAAAUUGCACAAAACCGAAAUAAUCUCCUUACAUUUCCAAGUGUAUAAGCCAAAGAAAACAGAGCUCGUGACUUGAUCAUUUCCUAUCUUGUUUUCCAGUUUGCAGUCAAUGAAUCGUCGGCGAAGGGCGUCAGGCAAGUGAUUGGCAAGGGAGGAUUGAAUUACUGGGUUUUACUUCAAAGUUUAGAAUUGGAAGCCGCGGAGCCGAGGGGUUUCUCUCGUGAUGAGAUUGAGUUGGGAAUAGGACGAUUUCUUGCAUUGAAUUUCAGUUUGGUAACGGCAUUCUUUGAAUUCGAAACUGGAAGGGUUCUUUGAUUAAACCCAUUUUCAUCAUUUUUGAAUUACUUUUUAAAAAAAAAUCCUCUUUAGUUGGUGGAUCACGCCACUAUGGGUCCGCCAGUGCGUGCUUGGCCAGUUGGCAAGAGAGCUCACGCCAUAGUUGAGGCCGCUCUUUACUUAGGUUUGGG
This 521-nucleotide long non-coding RNA is filed under the name Olea europaea subsp. europaea. Lineage: Eukaryota; Viridiplantae; Streptophyta; Magnoliopsida; Lamiales; Oleaceae. The record is from RNAcentral.